This 253-nucleotide ribosomal RNA is filed under the name uncultured bacterium. Its description in RNAcentral is "partial 16S ribosomal RNA". It matches the Rfam family "Bacterial small subunit ribosomal RNA", at positions 524 to 776 of the family's 1533-position model. The record is from RNAcentral.
UACGGGGGGGGCGAGCGUUGUCCGAAGUUACUGGGCGUAAAGGGCGCGUAGGCGGGGUGCCAAGUCCGCUGUGAAAGCCUGGAGCUUAACUCCAGCGGGUCGGUGGAUACUGGCACUCUUGAAGGCGUUAGGGGAAGAUGGAAUUACCCGUGGAGCGGUGAAAUGCGUAGAGAUGGGUAGGAACACUGGUGGCGAAGGCGGUCUUCUGGGACGUCCUUGACGCUGAGGCGCGAAAGCUGGGGGAGCGAACGGG